RNAcentral lists this ribosomal RNA (251 nucleotides) under uncultured prokaryote. Its description in RNAcentral is "partial 16S rRNA". It matches the Rfam family "Bacterial small subunit ribosomal RNA", at positions 525 to 775 of the family's 1533-position model. The record is from RNAcentral.
ACGGAGGAUGCAAGCGUUAUUCGGAUUUAUUGGGUUUAAAGGGCGCGUAGGCGGAACGAUAAGUCAGUGGUGAAAUCCUACGGCUUAACUGUAGAACUGCCAUUGAUACUGUUAUUCUUGAGUACACUUGAAGUGGGCGGAAUUUCUCAUGUAGAGGUGAAAUUCUUAGAGAUGGCACAGAAUAUCGAUGGCGAAGGCAGCUCACUAAAUUGUAACUGACGCUCAUGCGCGAAAGCGUGGGGAUCAAACAG